Non-coding RNA from Taeniopygia guttata (zebra finch), 275 nucleotides. Lineage: Eukaryota; Metazoa; Chordata; Aves; Passeriformes; Estrildidae. The record is from RefSeq and is a predicted model, not a curated record.
AUACGGAGGCGUUUGCGUCCACGAAGAGUCUGUAGUAGCCAGCAAUGAGGCAGACGAGGUCCUUUGCACUGUUUGACUCCAGCAGCAGACAAACCUUUCCUGGAGCACGUCGCUGCAGCUCUGGGGCAAACACAGCACAGUUAGGCCAGCAGGAGCGCAGCACCAAACUGCCCACACGACACCACGCAGCCAGGAGGUCCAAGGGGUCCCUGGGGACAAAGCACACUCUGAAGAGGCAGCGGUAGUCAUGAGAGUCUCUCUUCUGGACCACCUGC